UGGGGGAUAUUGCACAAUGGGGGAAACCCUGAUGCAGCGACGCCGCGUGUAGGAAGACGGUCCUCUGGAUUGUAAACUACUGUCUUCAGGGACGAUAAUGACGGUACCUGAGGAGGAAGCUCCGGCUAACUACGUGCCAGCAGCCGCGGUAAUACGUAGGGAGCGAGCGUUGUCCGGAAUUACUGGGUGUAAAGGGAGCGUAGGCGGGGAGGCAAGUUGGAUGUGAAAACUAUCGGCUCAACUGAUAGACUGCAUUCAAAACUGUUUCUCUUGAGUGAAGUAGAGGCAGGCGGAAUUCCUAGUGUAGCGGUGAAAUGCGUAGAUAUUAGGAGGAACACCAGUGGCGAAGGCGGCCUGCUGGGCUUUUACUGACGCUGAGGCUCGAAAGUGUGGGGAGCAAACA
This 403-nucleotide ribosomal RNA is filed under the name uncultured bacterium. RNAcentral's name for it is "bacterial SSU rRNA". It matches the Rfam family "Bacterial small subunit ribosomal RNA", at positions 355 to 774 of the family's 1533-position model. The record is from RNAcentral.